CUAAUGUCUCGGCCUUUCGGGCAAAGAUCAAAGUGUGUAUCUGUUGUAUCAGCUUCAUAUCUGAACGUCUCCAUUGGUUGGGGAACAUCGAUAUUAAAGCGAUUUUGAAAGGGGGUGAGGUGACCCGGGGCCCUUGCUCCGCCCUCACCACGGGUUGACCCGGUAUUGCAGUACUUCCGGGAAUGGCCCACCACUA
Small nuclear RNA from Gigantopelta aegis, 196 nucleotides. RefSeq annotates it as U2 spliceosomal RNA. Lineage: Eukaryota; Metazoa; Mollusca; Gastropoda; Neomphalida; Peltospiridae. The transcript has a single exon. The record is from RefSeq and is a predicted model, not a curated record.